GCGUACGCGACGGAGCGGGGUGUGAAGAUGGCGGACGAAGAGGCCGAGCAGGAGAGGUUGAGUCGCGGCGAAGGCGGCUGCGUUGCGGAGCUGCAGCGCCUGGGCGAGCGGCUCCAGGAGCUGGAGCGACAGCUGCGGGAGAGCCGGGUACCGGCCGUGGAAGCGGCCACCGACUACUGUCAGCAGCUAUGCCAGACACUCCUAGAAUAUGCAGAGAAAUGGAAAACUUCAGAAGAUCCUUUACCUUUAUUGGAGGUAUACACAGUGGCUAUCCAAAGUUAUGUUAAAGCCCGACCUUAUCUUACCUCUGAAUGUGAAAAUGUAGCCUUGGUUCUGGAACGCUUGGCAUUAAGCUGUGUUGAACUUUUACUGUGUCUGCCUGUUGAGUUAUCAGAUAAACAGUGGGAACAAUUUCAGACACUGGUGCAGGUAGCUCAUGAAAAGCUGAUGGAGAAUGGCAGCUGUGAAUUGCAUUUUUUAGCUACUCUAGCUCAAGAGACUGGGGUGUGGAAAAACCCGGUACUGUGCACUAUUCUUUCCCAGGAACCAUUGGAUAAGGAUAAAGGAUUCCAUCCAGGAUACCACAUUACAUUUAGUCGUCAUGUCUCCUUAGGCUCCUCUUGGCUGUGACAGUUUUUCAGACUUUCCUUGUUUUUGAUGACCUUGACAGUUUUGAGGAGUACUGGUCAGGUAUUUUGUAGAGUGUCCCUCAAUUGAGAUUUGUCUGAUGUUGUUCUCAUGAUUAGACUGGGGUUAUGGGUUUUGAGGAGGAAGACCAGAAAGGUAAAGUACCAUUGCCAUCACAUUAUAUAAAGGGUAUCUAUUGUCAACAUGACUUAUCACUGUUUUGAGGUUUUUGGGGGUUUUUUUUGUUUGUUUGUUUUUUGAGAAAGGGUCUCACUCCAUCACUCAGGCUGGAGUGCAGUGGCACAAUCCCAGCUCACUGCAACCUCCAACUCCUGGGUUCAAGCGAUUCUCCCACCUCGGCCUCCCGAGUAGCUGGGACCGCAGGCAUGUGCCACCAUGCCUGGCUAAACUUCUUUGUAUGUUUUGGUAGAGAUGGGGUUUUACCUUGUUGGCCAAGCUGGUCUCGAGUCCCUGACCUCAAGUGAUCCACCUGCCUCGGCCUCCCAAAAUACUGGGAUUACAGGCAUGAGCCACUACACCCAGCCGACUUAUCACUGUUGGUGUGAACCUAGACCACCUAGCUGUGGCAGCAUGUGUCAGGUUUCUCCACUGUGAAGUUACUCUUUUCUCUCUUUCCAUGCUACAUUCUUUAGAAUGAAAUUACUGUGUGCAGCCCAUACUUGAAGUGGGAAGUUAUGCUCCACCUCCUUGAGGAAGCAGUAUCUACAUGUUAUCUGGAAUUCUACACAGGAGAUUUGUCUCCUCCCUAUUUAUUUUUUCCAUCAGUCAUUUAUAUUAGUAUGGCCUUAUAUAUAUUUAUUUUAUACUUUGGUCAUAAUCUGAUACUACUUUAUUUUGUUGCUCAGUUUCUUCCAGCUUUGGCAUGAGAGCUCUUUCCUUUGACUCUUGUGUCCCUCAUCAAUGGGUUUUGUUUUUUGUGUGAUUACUUCCUUGCUUUCUGGCACCGUAAUAUGCUCCAGGCUCAUCUGGCGUAUUUCCUGCCUGAGUCCUGGAAUCAACCAUUUCUCUAGGGAGGACUUGCCCCUUUUAUUGGAGAAUGGUAUUAGAAACCAAGAUCUAUAUUAAACUAAAUAUGAAUUCUU
This 1730-nucleotide small RNA is filed under the name Pongo abelii (Sumatran orangutan). RNAcentral describes it as "processed transcript". Lineage: Eukaryota; Metazoa; Chordata; Mammalia; Primates; Hominidae. The record is from RNAcentral.